Molecule: long non-coding RNA, 1234 nt
Organism: Musa acuminata AAA Group (dessert banana)
Lineage: Eukaryota; Viridiplantae; Streptophyta; Magnoliopsida; Zingiberales; Musaceae
Exons: 7
Source: RefSeq, a predicted model, not a curated record
CAUUGUAAUCUUUGGCAAAAGGCUUUCCGGCCGAUCGAUCACCAUUAUCCCAUUGCCAUGUUUUCGCCAACGGCGCCCCUGGCGACCAAGAACCCCGGCUCUCGGAGAUCCACCGAGUGCUGUGCCGCGCCCGUCGCUCCCGGCAGGGGGUUUCUUCUUCUUUGAUUUGAUCUCGCGAAAAGUUACACUUCUCGAUCUCCGAAAUCUGGGUAGCGUUUCACCUGGCAUCUUUCUCCAACGCCCUGAACUACCACUUUUUGAUUCGCUGGAAGACAAUCCUGACAUGCCAUGCGAGUUCGGCGAAGCACAUAGGAAAAGAGUGCGACAUAUGUUUCCAUUUCUUGGAUUCCCUUUAGCAAUGUCGAUUAAUGAAAAUUCGAAUUCGGGUGGCAAAGAUUAUAGACAUUGCCCCUAUAUGUUUAUGUAGCUACUUCUUGUUUUAUGAUCAAUUGGACAAAGGCUGGUACCAGCUUUUGGUUUGUGGAACAACACCAUGGAUGAUACAUGGAUAUGGUGAAAUCAGAGAUGUGUUUCUAAAGCACUUUGGGAGAAAAGUGCUAUGAAGUGACAGAGGACGGAAUAUUCUUGGUUGGCGAAUGGAUUGCAUGGAAGGUGUCUCACCAAAGUUAAGUUGUUAAAGAUUGUUGAGAUAUGUUGAGAAGGUAUAUAAAUUGCCAGACAGAAUUAAAAUUGUGUCCAGAUGAGUAGAGGAGCAGCUGGAGGGAACAACACAUUGCUUGGGGAACCCAAACCUCCCUUGUACAGGGAUCCAGGUACCUGCUGAAUUCUUCUAAAACUAUAUCAUGAAUAACAGCAGCUAUUCGUAGCUUGGCCGAGAGGAUACUGUCUGAAUGAGUUAUUUCCGUUGUUUCAAAUUAAUUCUCAUUUCAUUUCUUGGUUCUUUUAUGUAAUUAUUCUGUUUCCAGUAAAACUAUGGCUGUCACUAGUGAACAACCUUCAUGAUAUGAAGCAAAAUUGGGACCAACAACUUCUAUUGCACUCCUUGUCUUCUAAUAAGCUUUUUCCUAUUAGUCAACUUAAAUCUCUUUUUUCUUUCUCAGAUUGGGACCGUAUCUUUUGCGGUCAUUCUUCACAGGAAUAAGUAUGAUAUUGUUCUUAUGGGAAAAAAUUCUGUAUAACCUAAACUGCAUCGGCUAGCUUGCUAAUGCUUUGUUAACACCUUCUGUUUGUUCAAUAUCUCGCACUAACAUUUUGGUAUUGCAAAACAAUUAUA